Molecule: ribosomal RNA, 253 nt
Filed under: uncultured bacterium
Lineage: Bacteria
Description: partial 16S ribosomal RNA
Rfam family: Bacterial small subunit ribosomal RNA
Source: RNAcentral
UACAGGGGGUGCAAACGUUGCUCGGAAUCAUUGGGCGUAAAGCGCACGUAGGCGGUUUGGUAUGUCGGAUGUGAAAGCCCUUGGCUCAACUGAGGAAGUGCAUCCGAAACUGGCAAGCUAGAGUACUAAAGAGGGUCGCGGAAUUCCCGGUGUAGAGGUGAAAUUCGUAGAUAUCGGGAGGAACACCGGUGGCGAAGGCGGCGACCUGGGUAGAUACUGACGCUGAGGUGCGAAAGCGUGGGGAGCAAACAGG